This 301-nucleotide ribosomal RNA is filed under the name uncultured bacterium. RNAcentral's name for it is "partial 16S ribosomal RNA". It matches the Rfam family "Bacterial small subunit ribosomal RNA", at positions 509 to 809 of the family's 1533-position model. The record is from RNAcentral.
CAGUCGCCACGGUAAUACGGAGGGAGCUAGCGUUGUUCGGAAUUACUGGGCGUAAAGCGCGCGUAGGCGGUUACUCAAGUCAGAGGUGAAAGCCCGGGGCUCAACCCCGGAACUGCCUUUGAAACUAGGUGACUAGAAUCUUGGAGAGGUCAGUGGAAUUCCGAGUGUAGAGGUGAAAUUCGUAGAUAUUCGGAAGAACACCAGUGGCGAAGGCGACUGACUGGACAAGUAUUGACGCUGAGGUGCGAAAGCGUGGGGAGCAAACAGGAUUAGAUACCCCAGUAGUCCCUGUCUCUUAUAU